UACGUAGGGGGCGAGCGUUGUCCGGAUUUAUUGGGCGUAAAGAGCUCGUAGGCGGCUAGGUAGGUCCGUUGUGAAAACUCGAGGCUCAACCUCGAGCUGUCGAUGGAAACCAUCUGGCUAGAGUCCGGAAGAGGAGAGUGGAAUUCCUGGUGUAGCGGUGAAAUGCGCAGAUAUCAGGAAGAACACCCGUGGCGAAGGCGGCUCUCUGGUACGUGACUGACGCUGAGACGCGAAAGCGUGGGGAGCGAACAGG
RNAcentral lists this ribosomal RNA (253 nucleotides) under uncultured bacterium. RNAcentral describes it as "partial 16S ribosomal RNA". It matches the Rfam family "Bacterial small subunit ribosomal RNA", at positions 524 to 776 of the family's 1533-position model. The record is from RNAcentral.